RNAcentral lists this ribosomal RNA (720 nucleotides) under uncultured bacterium. Its description in RNAcentral is "bacterial SSU rRNA". It matches the Rfam family "Bacterial small subunit ribosomal RNA", at positions 163 to 916 of the family's 1533-position model. The record is from RNAcentral.
CUAAUACCGCAUAAGCCCGGGAGGGGAAAGCCGCAAGGCGCCGAAGGAGGAGUUCGCGGCCGAUUAGCUAGUUGGUAAGGUAAUGGCUUACCAAGGCUGAGAUCGGUAGCCGGCCUGAGAGGGCACACGGCCACACUGGCACUGAAACACGGGCCAGACUCCUACGGGAGGCAGCAGUGGGGAAUCUUGCACAAUGGGGGAAACCCUGAUGCAGCGACGCCGCGUGAGCGAUGAAGCCCUUCGGGGUGUAAAGCUCUUUCGGCAGGAACGAUAAUGACGGUACCUGCAGAAGAAGCUGCGGCUAACUACGUGCCAGCAGCCGCGGUAAUACGUAGGCAGCGAGCGUUGUUCGGAGUUACUGGGCGUAAAGAGUGCGUAGGCGGUUACGCAAGUUCGGUGUGAAAUCUCCCGGCUCAACUGGGAGGGUGCGCCGGAAACUGCGGAGCUAGAGUGCGGGAGAGGAGAGCGGAAUUCCUGGUGUAGCGGUGAAAUGCGUAGAUAUCAGGAGGAACACCGGCGGUGUAGACGGCUCUCUGGACCGUGACUGACGCUGAGGCACGAAAGCGUGGGGGGCAAACAGGAUUAGAUACCCUGGUAGUCCACGCCCUAAACGAUGCACACUUGGUGUGGGCCAUUCAGUUGGUCCGUGCCGGAGCUAACGCGUUAAGUGUGCCGCCUGGGGAGUACGGUCGCAAGGCUGAAACUCAAAUGAAUUGACGG